This 253-nucleotide ribosomal RNA is filed under the name uncultured bacterium. Its description in RNAcentral is "partial 16S ribosomal RNA". It matches the Rfam family "Bacterial small subunit ribosomal RNA", at positions 524 to 776 of the family's 1533-position model. The record is from RNAcentral.
UACAGAGGUCCCAAGCGUUGUUCGGAUUCACUGGGCGUAAAGGGUGCGUAGGUGGUUGGGUAAGUCUGAUGUGAAAUCUCCGGGCUCAACCCGGAAAUGGCAUUGGAUACUAUUCGGCUAGAGGUUUGGAGGGGGGACUGGAAUUCUCGGUGUAGCAGUGAAAUGCGUAGAUAUGUGGAGGAACACCGAUGGCGAAGGCAGCCCCCUGGGCUAACACUGACGCUCAUGCACGAAAGCGUGGGGAGCAAACAGG